AUUUGGCGGACGGGUGAGUAAUGCCUAGGAAUCCGCCUGGUAGUGGGGGAUAACGUUCCGAAAGGAACGCUAAUACCGCGUACGUCCUACGGGAGAAAGCAGGGGACCUUCGGGCCUCGCGCUAUCAGAUGAGCCUAGGUCGGAUUAGCUAGUUGGUGAGGUAAUGGCUCACCAAGGCGACGAUCCGUAACUGGUCUGAGAGGAUGAUCAGUCACACUGGAACUGAGACACGGUCCAGACUCCUACGGGAGGCAGCAGUGGGGAAUAUUGGACAAUGGGCGAAAGCCUGAUCCAGCCAUGCCGCGUGUGUGAAGAAGGUCUUCGGAUUGUAAAGCACUUUAAGUUGGGAGGAAGGGCAGUAAGUUAAUACCUUGCUGUUUUGACGUUACCGACAGAAUAAGCACCGGCUAACUUCGUGCCAGCAGCCGCGGUAAUAA
This 437-nucleotide ribosomal RNA is filed under the name uncultured bacterium. Its description in RNAcentral is "bacterial SSU rRNA". It matches the Rfam family "Bacterial small subunit ribosomal RNA", at positions 93 to 526 of the family's 1533-position model. The record is from RNAcentral.